Molecule: long non-coding RNA, 238 nt
Organism: Sinocyclocheilus rhinocerous
Lineage: Eukaryota; Metazoa; Chordata; Actinopteri; Cypriniformes; Cyprinidae
Exons: 3
Source: RefSeq, a predicted model, not a curated record
CUGGGAUUUUUUAGAGGUGACACGAACUUGCUAUAAGGAUUAACUUGGAUUGCCUUUUGUGGUGCAAUAUUUAAAGAGCAUACUGCUAAAAGGACAUAGCAAUGGAGUGGAGGAUUAUAGUACCUGUUCUGUGUCUAAUUGGAAUCCUACAUGUGCAAGGAAAUGCUGCUCAGUCCAACAGUUCCACCAGCAUCAACAACAACACCAUCACUGGUCAGUGUGUGUUUACAGAUUUAUC